Molecule: ribosomal RNA, 260 nt
Filed under: uncultured soil bacterium
Lineage: Bacteria
Description: partial 16S ribosomal RNA
Rfam family: Bacterial small subunit ribosomal RNA
Source: RNAcentral
AGGACGAACGCUGGCGGCGUGCCUAACACAUGCAAGUCGAACGGGACCAGGGGCAACUCUGGUUCAGUGGCGGACGGGUGCGUAACACGUGAGGAACAUGACCUUCGGCGGGGGAUAGCCGGCCCAACGGCCGGGUAAUACCGCGUACGACCACUCGGGGACAUCCCCAGGUGGUGAAAGCAGCAAUGCGCCGAUGGAGUGCCUCGCGGCCUAUCAGCUAGUUGGUGAGGUAACGGCUCACCAAGGCGACGACGGGUAGC